AACGCCUGGCGGCGUGCCUAAUACAUGCAAGUCGAGCGGACAGAUGGGAGCUUGCUCCCUUGAUGUUAGCGGCGGACGGGUGAGUAACACGUGGGUAACCUGCCUGUAAGACUGGGAUAACUCCGGGAAAACCGGGGCUAAUACCGGAUGGUUGUCUGAACCGCAUGGUUCAGACAUAAAAGGUGGCUUCGGCUACCACUUACAGAUGGACCCGCGGCGCAUUAGCUAGUUGGUGAGGUAACGGCUCACCAAGGCGACGAUGCGUAGCCGACCUGAGAAGGGUGAUCGGCCACACUGGGACUGAGACACGGCCCAGACUCCUACGGGAGGCAGCAGUAGGGAAUCUUCCGCAAUGGACGAAAGUCUGACGGAGCAACGCCGCGUGAGUGAUGAAGGUUUCCGGAUCGUAAAGCUCUGUUGUUAGGGAAGAAACAAGUGCCGUUCAAAAUAGGGCGGCACCUUGACCGGUACCUAAAACCAGAAAGCCACGGCUAACUACGUGC
Molecule: ribosomal RNA, 503 nt
Filed under: Bacillus sp. LBBMA TR7
Lineage: Bacteria; Bacillati; Bacillota; Bacilli; Caryophanales; Bacillaceae
Description: bacterial SSU rRNA
Rfam family: Bacterial small subunit ribosomal RNA
Source: RNAcentral